Molecule: transfer RNA, 66 nt
Filed under: Deporaus marginatus
Lineage: Eukaryota; Metazoa; Arthropoda; Insecta; Coleoptera; Attelabidae
Description: tRNA-Ile
Source: RNAcentral
AAUGAAAUGCCUGAAAAAAAGGGUUAUUUUGAUAGAAUAAAUCAUACACUUAUAGUGUUUUCAUUA